Molecule: ribosomal RNA, 1345 nt
Filed under: metagenome
Description: bacterial LSU rRNA
Rfam family: Bacterial large subunit ribosomal RNA
Source: RNAcentral
UGAGUGCGAGCUGCUACGGCAGCGAAGUUGGUGACGUCAUGCUUCCAAGAAAAGCCCUAUACCCGUUAAGGCAUCAUGGCCUGUACCCGAAACCGACACAGGUGGGGUGGUAGAGAAUACCGAGGGGCGCGAGGUAACUCUCUCUAAGGAACUCGGCAAAAUGGCCCCGUAACUUCGGGAGAAGGGGUGCCACCGCAAGGUGGUCGCAGUGAAGAGGCCCAGGCGACUGCUUACCAAAAACACAGGUCUCCGCUAAGUCGCAAGACGAUGUAUGGGGGCUGACGCCUGCCCAGUGCCGGAAGGUUAAGGAAGCUGGUCAGCGCAAGCAAGCUAGCGACUGAAGCCCCGGUGAACGGCGGCCGUAACAAUAACGGUCCUAAGGUAGCGAAAUUCCUUGUCGGGUAAGUUCCGACCCGCACGAAAGGCGUAACGAUCUGGGCGCUGUCUCGGAGAGAGGCUCGGCGAAAUAGAAUUGUCUGUGAAGAUGCGGACUACGUGCACCCGGACAGAAAGACCCUAUGAAGCUUUACUGUAGCUUGGUAUUGUGCCCGGGCUCGCAAUGCGCAGGAUAGGUGGGAGGCUUUGAUCAUCGGCUUGCGGGUCGAUGUGAGCCAACGGUGAGAUACCACUCUUUGCGAGCUAGGGUUCUAACGGCCACCCGUCAUCCGGGGGCCGGACAGUACCUGGUGGGCAGUUUGACUGGGGCGGUCGCCUCCUAAAAGGUAACGGAGGCGCGCAAAGGUUUGCUCAGGCUGGUUGGAAAUCAGCCGACGAGUGUAAAAGCAGAAGCAAGCUUGACUGUGAGACCAACAAGUCGAACAGGGAGGAAACUCGGCUUUAGUGAUCCGACGGUUCUGAGUGGAAGGGCCGUCGCUCAACGGAUAAAAGUUACUCUAAGGAUAACAGGCUGAUCUCCCCCAAGAGUUCACAUCGACGGGGAGGUUUGGCACCUCGAUGUCGGCUCAUCGCAACCUGGGGCUGAAGUCGGUCCCAAGGGUUGGGCUGUUCGCCCAUUAAAGCGGUACGCGAGCUGGGUUCAGAACGUCGUGAGACAGUUCGGUCCAUAUCCGGUGCACGCGCAGGAAUAUUGAGAGGAUUUCUCCCUAGUACGAGAGGACCGGGAGGAACGCACCUCUGGUGUACCAGUUAUCGUGCCAACGGUAAACGCUGGGUAGCCAUGUGCGGAGUGGAUAACCGCUGAAAGCAUCUAAGUGGGAAGCCCACCUCAAGAUGAGUAUUCCCAUGGCGUAAGCCAGUAAGGUCACGGGAAGUACACCCGUUGAUGGGCUCUAUGUGGAAGCGCAGUAAUGCGUGAAGCAGAGGAGUACUAAUAGACCGAGGGCUU